Molecule: microRNA precursor, 126 nt
Filed under: Brassica napus (rape)
Lineage: Eukaryota; Viridiplantae; Streptophyta; Magnoliopsida; Brassicales; Brassicaceae
Also listed under: 1 other name
Description: MIR9563 microRNA precursor family
Rfam family: MIR9563 microRNA precursor family
Source: Rfam by way of RNAcentral
GGAAUAUAAGAACCCGUCUCUUAACUUUUAACUAAAAAAAGCUAAGAACGGGUUCUUAAAUAAGAGUUUUAAGAGCCGGUUCUUAACUUUUUUAGUUAAAAGUUAAGAGACGGGUUCUUAUAUUCC